Molecule: ribosomal RNA, 492 nt
Filed under: uncultured bacterium
Lineage: Bacteria
Description: partial 16S ribosomal RNA
Rfam family: Bacterial small subunit ribosomal RNA
Source: RNAcentral
GAUGAACGCUGGCGGCGUGCCUAACACAUGCAAGUCGAACGGAAAGACAGUGAGCUUUUGCUCUUACCGGUGGCGGCUGGCGGGCGGGUGACGAGUGGAUCGGCAACUAAUAUUUCGGGGAGGAUAACGUAAAGACGGAUCCAAUACUAGAGCAUAUGUUGAACCGCAGGGUGCAGUAGAGCAUCACAGCUUGGGUGUCUGUAUGAGACGGUGCCGCACUAGCUAGUUGGGUGGGUAAGGGCCUACCAAGGCGACGAUACGUAGCUGAUCUGAGAGGAUGAUCGGCCACACUGGAACUGAGACACGGUCCAGACUCCUACGGGAGGCAGCAGUAGGGAAUAUUGGGCAAUGGGCGAAAGCCUGACCCAGCCACGCCGCGUGAGUGAAGAAGGCCUUCGGAUCGUAAAGCCCUGUUGUUGGGAAAGAAAAGCAGUGUGUGAAUACACCGCCGUUCUGACGGUACCUAAUGAAAAAGCACCGGCUAACUACGUG